GCAGUCGAGCGGACAGAAGGGAGCUUGCUCCCGGAUGUUAGCGGCGGACGGGUGAGUAACACGUGGGUAACCUGCCUGUAAGACUGGGAUAACUCCGGGAAACCGGAGCUAAUACCGGAUAGUUCCUUGAACCGCAUGGUUCAAGGAUGAAAGACGGUUUCGGCUGUCACUUACAGAUGGACCCGCGGCGCAUUAGCUAGUUGGUGGGGUAAUGGCUCACCAAGGCGACGAUGCGUAGCCGACCUGAGAGGGUGAUCGGCCACACUGGGACUGAGACACGGCCCAGACUCCUACGGGAGGCAGCAGUAGGGAAUCUUCCGCAAUGGACGAAAGUCUGACGGAGCAACGCCGCGUGAGUGAUGAAGGUUUUCGGAUCGUAAAGCUCUGUUGUUAGGGAAGAACAAGUGCGAGAGUAACUGCUCGCACCUUGACGGUACCUAACCAGAAAGCCACGGCUAACUACGUGCCAGCAGCCGCGGUAAUACGUAGGUGGCAAGCGUUGUCCGGAAUUAUUGGGCGUAAAGGGCUCGCAGGCGGUUUCUUAAGUCUGAUGUGAAAGCCCCCGGCUCAACCGGGGAGGGUCAUUGGAAACUGGGAAACUUGAGUGCAGAAGAGGAGAGUGGAAUUCCACGUGUAGCGGUGAAAUGCGUAGAGAUGUGGAGGAACACCAGUGGCGAARGCGACUCUCUGGUCUGUAWCUGACRCUGAGGAGCGAAAGCGUGGGGAGCGAACASGAUUAUAUACCCUGSUAGUCCACGCCGYAAACGAYGAAUGCUARSUGUUAGGGAGGUUKC
RNAcentral lists this ribosomal RNA (794 nucleotides) under Bacillus pumilus. Its description in RNAcentral is "bacterial SSU rRNA". It matches the Rfam family "Bacterial small subunit ribosomal RNA", at positions 57 to 835 of the family's 1533-position model. The record is from RNAcentral. Lineage: Bacteria; Bacillati; Bacillota; Bacilli; Caryophanales; Bacillaceae.